GAUGAACGCUGGCGGCGUGCCUAACACAUGCAAGUCGAGCGAUUUACUUCGGUAAAGAGCGGCGGACGGGUGAGUAACGCGUGGGUAACCUGCCCUAUACACACGGAUAACAUACCGAAAGGUAUGCUAAUACGAGAUGACAUAAGAGAUUCGCAUGGAUUUCUUAUCAAAGCUUUUGCGGUAUAGGAUGGACCCGCGUCUGAUUAGCUAGUUGGUAAGGUAACGGCUUACCAAGGCGACGAUCAGUAGCCGACCUGAGAGGGUGAUCGGCCACAUUGGAACUGAGACACGGUCCAAACUCCUACGGGAGGCAGCAGUGGGGAAUAUUGCACAAUGGGCGAAAGCCUGAUGCAGCAACGCCGCGUGAGCGAUGAAGGCCUUCGGGUCGUAAAGCUCUGUCCUCAAGGAAGAUAAUGACGGUACUUGAGGAGGAAGCCCCGGCUAACUACGUGCCAGCAGCCGCGGUAAUACGUAGGGGGCUAGCGUUAUCCGGAAUUACUGGGCGUAAAGGGUGCGUAGGUGGUUUCUUAAGUCAGAGGUGAAAGGCUACGGCUCAACCGUAGUAAGCCUUUGAAACUGAGAAACUUGAGUGCAGGAGAGGAGAGUAGAAUUCCUAGUGUAGCGGUGAAAUGCGUAGAUAUUAGGAGGAAUACCAGUUGCGAAGGCGGCUCUCUGGACUGUAACUGACACUGAGGCACGAAAGCGUGGGGAGCAAACAGGAUUAGAUACCCUGGUAGUCUACGCCGUAAACGAUGAGUACUAGCUGUCGGAGGUUACCCCCUUCGGUGGCGCAGCUAACGCAUUAAGUACUCCGCCUGGGAAGUACGCUCGCAAGAGUGAAACUCAAAGGAAUUGACGGGGACCCGCACAAGUAGCGGAGCAUGUGGUUUAAUUCGAAGCAACGCGAAGAACCUUACCUAAGCUUGACAUCCUUCUGACCUCUCCCUAAUCGGAGAUUUCCCUUCGGGGACAGAAGUGACAGGUGGUGCAUGGUUGUCGUCAGCUCGUGUCGUGAGAUGUUGGGUUAAGUCCCGCAACGAGCGCAACCCUUGCCUUUAGUUGCCAGCAUUAAGUUGGGCACUCUAGAGGGACUGCCAGGGAUAACCUGGAGGAAGGUGGGGAUGACGUCAAAUCAUCAUGCCCCUUAUGCUUAGGGCUACACACGUGCUACAAUGGGUGGUACAGAGGGCAGCCAAGUCGUGAGGCGGAGCUAAUCCCUUAAAGCCAUUCUCAGUUCGGAUUGUAGGCUGAAACUCGCCUACAUGAAGCUGGAGUUACUAGUAAUCGCAGAUCAGAAUGCUGCGGUGAAUGCGUUCCCGGGUCUUGUACACACCGCCCGUCACACCACGGGAGUUGGGGGCGCCCGAAGCCACUUAGCUAACCCUUUUGGGAAGCGAGUGUCGAAGGUGAAAUCAAUAACUGGGGUGAAGUCGUAACAAGGUAGCCGUAUCGGAAGGUGCGGCUGGAUCACCUCCUUUCUAAGGAGAAUUGCCUACUGUUUAAUUUUGAGGGUUCAUUAAAUGGAAACUCAACAAUAGAGGGCGUAGCCCAAUGCAACUGUAUUUUGAGCAACGGGAUGAACAUGAACGUAUGUGAAUGUUUAGACGUUGGCGACAUGCGAUAGCAUUUUAGUACUUUGAAAACUGCAUAACAUUUAGUGAUAUGACAUCAUUUAAUUAAUAUAUGGACAAGAAAAGUCCUUAAAAUUACAACUUUAAGCAAAGGGAUUUAUGUGAAUGUAUAUGAACAUAAAGACUUUGGCGAUAACUUUUUAAUAACUGGUCAAGUUAUUAAGGGUGCAGGGUGGAUGCCUUGGCACUAGGAGCCGAUGAAGGACGUGAUAAGCUGCGAUAAGCUUCGGGGAGUUGCACGUAAACUUUGAUCCGAAGAUUUCCGAAUGAGGAAACUCACUUAGAGUAAUGUCUAAGUAUCGUUAAGUGAAUACAUAGCUUAGCGAGGGGAACCCGGGGAACUGAAACAUCUAAGUACCUGGAGGAAGAGAAAGAAAAAUCGAUUCCGUAAGUAGCGGCGAGCGAACGCGGAACAGGCCAAACCAAUGAAGUUUACUUCGUUGGGGUUGCGGACACGUCAUAAACGAAGAGGUAUCGUAAGUGAAGAGAGUUGGAAAGCUCCGCUAUAAAAGGUAAUAGCCCUGUAGCUGAAACGAGAAGACUUUAGAUGUGAUCCAGAGUACCACGGGACACGUGAAACCCUGUGGGAAGCAGGAGGGACCAUCCUCCAAGCCUAAAUACUACCUAGUGACCGAUAGCGCAU
RNAcentral lists this ribosomal RNA (2274 nucleotides) under uncultured Intestinibacter sp. RNAcentral describes it as "partial contains 16S ribosomal RNA, 16S-23S ribosomal RNA intergenic spacer, and 23S ribosomal RNA". The stretch from base 1 to 1478 matches the Rfam family "Bacterial small subunit ribosomal RNA". Lineage: Bacteria; Bacillati; Bacillota; Clostridia; Peptostreptococcales; Peptostreptococcaceae. The record is from RNAcentral.